This is an RNA transcript of Cryptotermes secundus, 1503 nucleotides long. It is a transcript of the gene named protein ALP1-like, with no coding region annotated. The record is from RefSeq and is a predicted model, not a curated record. The transcript is spliced from 4 exons. NCBI's taxonomy places the organism in Eukaryota, Metazoa, Arthropoda, Insecta, Blattodea, Kalotermitidae.
CAUAACGGCGUACGCAUUUCAAACACGAAAAGUUACGUUAGGAAGUGUGGUAUCAGAGUAUUUAGCGUAUUCAGUGUAGUGAUGUGCGUAAUGUAUGUAGAGUAGUGCUGAGUUUGCCCUCAUAUGUAAUCAAGCAUAUUGUUUACGGCUGAGCAGAAAAAUCACAAAUUUUCUUCGGUCACACAGCUGUCACCAGUGCCAUACACACAACAUCGGGAAAAAUAACCAAAACAAUAUUAUUAAAAUCGUAAUGAGAAGUUUGUAUAACGAUCCAGAAAAGGAACACUAAGUUCAGAGAGGCGAUUUCGGUGCAAGAUCGAUUAGCUGUGACAUUGAGAUACUUGGCGACUGGGGACUCUUUUUACAAGUUUACAGUAUCUAUUCUGUAUAUCCAAGCAAAGUAUUGGCUGUAUUGUUGCAGACGUAUGUGGAGCCAUAAUCGAUGGAUUAAAAGAACACAUAAAGAUGCCAGAAGAACAAGAAAAAUGGAUGAACAUCAGCAACGACUUCAUGGAUCUCUGGAAUUUUCCACAUGUCGUUGGAGCAUUGGAUGGCAAACACAUCGUCAUGCAGAGCCCAUUCAACAGUGGAUCAGAGUUUUACAAUUACCAAUUGCAAUUUAAUAUCGUAUUACUCACUUUGGUGGACGCUAAAUAUAACUUCAUCUACGCAGACAUUGGUGCUCAAGGAAGAAUUGCAGAUGGUGGUGUUUUCAAAGCCAGUAGCCUCCACGAAAAGAUCGAAGGGAAACAUUUGCAACUACCAGAACCUGAAACCAUCCAAAACAAGGAAAUUCCAUACUUUUUUCUUGGUGACGGUGCAUUUCCUUUGAGUGAAACCAUGAUGAAGCCAUAUGCAGGAAUAUAUACUAAAGGUUCUAAAGAGAGAGUUUUCAACUACCACUUAUCCAGAGCAAGUAGGGUAGUAGAAAACGCAUUUGAUCUUCUGGCUUCGGUAUUCCGAGUACUACAGAAGCUUUUACAACCAGAAAAGGCUCAACGUGUUGUUAUGGCCAUAAUCUAUUUGCAUAAUUUUUAAGGCGCAGUUCUUCACAUUCACUUUAUGCCUGGGUCUGUGGAUACUAAAAACAAUGAUGGUGGAGAGGUAAUCCCUGGAACCUGGAGAAACGAUCAACCUAUGACAUCGUGCCUACCACUACCAUCGAUCCCACGGCGGUCUGCAACUCACGUUGAAGAAUACGAUGGGAAUUAGCGGACUGCUUCAUGGAGGAAGGCAAACUACCAUGGCAAGAUCGCUAUGCAUAGAAAGCUGCUUACAAUACUCUCAGUGGAUAGUCCUUUCCGGGGCUUAUCACGAUCCCUCAGAAAUUCCAAGGCGUUGUACGCGAACCAUUUACUUCCAUACAAUUCAUCCCUCCCUGCACAGAAAGAGAAAGAGGUACGUGAGCAGGAAUGCUGUGAAGAGCGUUGUAUUUUCUGCGCUACAUGCAUACUUAGUAGAAACUGAAUGUAUACUUGAGAAUAAACUCAUUGUCAUACAUAA